Long non-coding RNA from Cydia amplana, 327 nucleotides. RefSeq lists it as uncharacterized. Lineage: Eukaryota; Metazoa; Arthropoda; Insecta; Lepidoptera; Tortricidae. The transcript is spliced from 2 exons. The record is from RefSeq and is a predicted model, not a curated record.
CAAGUCAGCACAUGGGGCGGAGCCCGCUUCUUGUUAACAUUCACCGACGACUGUACGAGGAAGACUUUUGGCUACCUCAUGAAGUCGAAAAAUGAGAUCAGGAGAUAACACCACCAGCGUGGUCACCACUGACUGAUCAGUACUGUACUGGCGAAGACAGUGCUUCCGACAAUGGUGAGGGACACACUUCUCUGCCUGAGCCGGAAGUUGGGUGUCAAGGAGGAGGGUCGACUGCAUCAUCAGAUGAUGACGCGUCAUGCCCUCAACGCCCUGUACGUAGUACCAGAGGCAAAUUACCACAGAAAAUGGAUGACUACGACUUAUCAG